Molecule: unclassified non-coding RNA, 328 nt
Filed under: soil metagenome
Description: partial contains 5.8S ribosomal RNA, internal transcribed spacer 2, and large subunit ribosomal RNA
Rfam family: 5.8S ribosomal RNA (bases 1-120)
Source: RNAcentral
GAUGAAGAACGCAGCGAAAUGCGAUAAGUAAUGUGAAUUGCAGAAUUCAGUGAAUCAUCGAAUCUUUGAACGCACAUUGCGCCCCUUGGUAUUCCGAGGGGCAUGCCUGUUCGAGCGUCAUUAUAACCCUCAAGCUUAGCUUGGUGUUGGGGCCUGCUGCACUGGCAGCCCUUAAAAUCAGUGGCGGCGCCAUCUGGCUCUAAGCGUAGUAAUUCUUCUCGCUAUGGAGUCCUGGUGGAUGCUUGCCAUCAACCCCCAAUUUUUCUAUGGUUGACCUCGGAUCAGGUAGGGAUACCCGCUGAACUUAAGCAUAUCAAUAAGCGGAGGA